GACGAACGCUGGCGGCGUGCUUAACACAUGCAAGUCGAACGGAAAGGCCCUGCUUUUUUUUGUUUCUCGUUUGGCGAUCGUGUGUGUAACACUUGAGUAACCUGCCCUUGACUUUGUUAUAACUUCAUGAAACUGGUUCUAAUACCGUAUAUGAGCUCCUGCUGCAUGGUUGUGGUUGGAUAGUUUCGUCGGUUGGGGAUGUACUCGCGGCUUAUCAGCUUGUUGGUGGGGUAGUGGCUUACCAAGGCUUUGCCGGGUAGCCGGCCUGAGAGGGUGACCGGCGACAAUGGGACGGAGAUACGGCGCAGAGUGGAACGGGAGGCAGCAGUGGGGAAUAUAGCAAAAUGGGCGGAAGCAUGAUGAAGAAAAGGAGCGAGCGGGAUGAAGGCAUUCGGGUUGUAAAAAGAUUUAGGAGGUGAAGAAGAGAGAGUGACGGUAAUGGGUAAAGAAGCAACGGCUAACUACGUG
RNAcentral lists this ribosomal RNA (468 nucleotides) under uncultured bacterium. RNAcentral describes it as "partial 16S ribosomal RNA". It matches the Rfam family "Bacterial small subunit ribosomal RNA", at positions 28 to 507 of the family's 1533-position model. The record is from RNAcentral.